AUGACUUGCUUCUCGUGGAAGCUCAUAUGGAAGAAUUGGGCGCCGCCAAGAGUGAAGUUUUUUCACUGGUUGGCCAGCCAAGACCGGUGCUGGACGGCUGACCGCUUGGCUCGACGCGGUCUCCAGCACCAGCCAAGAUGCCCACUCUGUGACCAGGCUCUCGAGACGAUGCGCCACCUCCUCUUGGAGUGCCCCUUCGCCAGGCAGACUUGGCACGAAAUCCUGUCCUGGCUACGGAUGACCACUGCAGGGCCAAGCCACGAAGAUUCACUGAUGGACUGGUGGCUACAGGCAAGGCAAAACACGCCAACACUGAUGCGUAAGGGCCUAGCCUCCAUUGCUCUGUUGAUGCCAUGGAUGAUCUGGAAACAGCGCAACAAAUGCAUCUUUGAGGGCGCCCAGCCCCUGGUUCAGGUCCUGGUCUCGAAGAUCAAAGAGGAAGCCAAGGAGUGGGCAAGAGCGGGCGCCCACGGCCUACGCGUCAUCCUGCCGCCCACCUGGGACGUGCACUAG
This 513-nucleotide ribosomal RNA is filed under the name Triticum aestivum (bread wheat). RNAcentral's name for it is "partial small subunit ribosomal RNA". Lineage: Eukaryota; Viridiplantae; Streptophyta; Magnoliopsida; Poales; Poaceae. The record is from RNAcentral.